GAUUUCUGGUUCGGCGCACUUGGCCCGUCUCGGUUUACGGGACUGCGUGCCGGUGUGCGCCAUCCAUCCUUCGAGUGAACGCUUCUACCCUUCACUGGGUUGGGAGUGCUGAUCUCGAUCUUUUACUUUGAAAAAAUUAGAGUGUUUAAAGCAGGCUUGCGCUAUGAAUACAUUAGCAUGGAAUAAUAAUUUAGGACUUUGGUCUUAUUUUGUUGGUUUCUAGGACUAAAGUAAUGAUUGAUAGGGACAGUUGGGGGUGCUAGUAUUCAGCGGCCAGAGGUGAAAUUCUUGGAUUCGCUGAAGACUAACUUAUGCGAAAGCAUU
This 324-nucleotide ribosomal RNA is filed under the name Cercomonas sp. Its description in RNAcentral is "SSU rRNA". The stretch from base 114 to 324 matches the Rfam family "Eukaryotic small subunit ribosomal RNA", at positions 743 to 955 of the family's 1831-position model. The record is from RNAcentral. Lineage: Eukaryota; Cercozoa; Cercomonadida; Cercomonadidae.